AUUAUUGGACAAUGGGCGAAAGCCUGAUCCAGCCAUGCCGCGUGUGUGAAGAAGUCCUUCGGAUUUUAAAGUUCUUUAUGUUGGGAGGAAUUGGUUGAAGCUAAUACCUUCAAUCUUUGACGUUACGAACAUAAUAUGCACCGGCUACUCCUGUGCCAGCAGCCGCGGUAAUACAGCGGGUGCCAGCGUUAAUCGGAAUUACUGGGCGUAAAGCGCGAGUAGGUGGUUCAGUAAGAUGGAAGUGAAAGCCCCGGGCUCAACCUGGGAACUGCUUUCAAAACUGGCAAGCUAGAGUAUGGCAGAGGGUGGUGGAAUUUCCUGUGUAGCGGUGAAAUGCGUAGAUAUAGGAAGGAACAUCAGUGGCGAAGGCGACUACCUGGACUGAUACUGACACUGAGGUGCGAAAGCGUGGGGAGCAAACAGG
RNAcentral lists this ribosomal RNA (424 nucleotides) under uncultured bacterium. RNAcentral's name for it is "partial 16S ribosomal RNA". It matches the Rfam family "Bacterial small subunit ribosomal RNA", at positions 360 to 776 of the family's 1533-position model. The record is from RNAcentral.